This 246-nucleotide unclassified non-coding RNA is filed under the name Hevea brasiliensis (rubber tree). The record is from RNAcentral. Lineage: Eukaryota; Viridiplantae; Streptophyta; Magnoliopsida; Malpighiales; Euphorbiaceae.
GGAAGCUUACAAGCGCAUCGAAGAACUCGCAGAACUUGACGAACUGACCGGAUCGCUCAACCGCCGCAGCAUCAUGCAAACGCUCGACGAAGAAAUCGCCCGCUCCCGGCGCAGCAAGACGCCUUGCGCUGUCGCGUUGAUCGAUCUCGACUGGUUCAAGCGCAUCAACGACCGGUUCGGACAUCCUGUCGGCGACGAAGCAUUGCGGGCUUUUGCGAUCACAGUAUUCGCCAAUAUCCGCAGCAU